This 301-nucleotide ribosomal RNA is filed under the name uncultured bacterium. Its description in RNAcentral is "partial 16S ribosomal RNA". It matches the Rfam family "Bacterial small subunit ribosomal RNA", at positions 509 to 809 of the family's 1533-position model. The record is from RNAcentral.
CAGUAGCCGCGGGAAAACGGAGGGUGCAAGCGUUAAUCGGAAUUACUGGGCGUAAAGCGCACGCAGGCGGUCUGACAAGUCAGAUGUGAAAUCCCCGGGCUUAACCUGGGAACUGCAUUUGAAACUGUCAGGCUGGAGUCUUGUAGAGGGGGGUGGAAUUCCAGGUGUAGCGGUGAAAUGCGUAGAGAUCUGGAGGAAUACCGGUGGCGAAGGCGGCCCCCUGGACAAAGACUGACGCUCAGGUGCGAAAGCGUGGGGAGCAAACAGGAUUAGAUACCCCAGUAGUCCCUGUCUCUUAUAA